Molecule: ribosomal RNA, 381 nt
Filed under: uncultured bacterium
Lineage: Bacteria
Description: bacterial SSU rRNA
Rfam family: Bacterial small subunit ribosomal RNA
Source: RNAcentral
CGCAAUGGGCGAAAGCCUGACGUAGCGACACCGCGUGAGCGAAGAAGCCCUUUGGGGUGUAAAGCUCUGUCAGCUGGAACGAAACAAAUGACGGUACCAGCAGAGGAAGCAUCGGCUAACUACGUGCCAGCAGCCGCGGUAAGACGUAGGAUGCAAGCGUUGUCCGGAUUUAUUGGGCGUAAAGAGUUCGUAGGCGGUUUGUUAAGUCUGAUGUUAAAGAUCAGGGCCCAACCCUGGGAGUGCAUUGGAUACUGGCAGACUGGAGUGUGGUAGAGGUAAGUGGAAUUCCUGGUGUAGCGGUGAAAUGCGUAGAUAUCAGGAAGAACACCGGUGGCGUAGGCGACUUACUGGGCCAUAACUGACACUAAGAGACGAAAGCUA